Rattus norvegicus (Norway rat) is the source of this 785-nucleotide non-coding RNA. The record is from RefSeq and is a predicted model, not a curated record. NCBI's taxonomy places the organism in Eukaryota, Metazoa, Chordata, Mammalia, Rodentia, Muridae.
GCACAGCAGCAAAGCUCACUGGAGUCCACUUCCUGGUCGGGCUUUAUUCACUUAUUGUGCUUCUGUCACCCAGGUGCUUGAAAAAAAAUAUAGAAAUCUUACACAGGUGACUGGUUAAAACAUUUUCCAGGAAGAACUGAGUGAGAAGUUUGACUCAGAAAUCUGUGGAAGGACAAGACUGGACCCAGCCCCCAAACGUGAUGAGGAGAAAGCCACAAGCACCCAGAACCCUCAACCUUUCAAUUCAAGUGGAGUUUGAAUAUGCAGUGUGCCCCCAUGGGCUCAUGUGGUUGAACACAUGGCUGGUAGCGAUGACCUGGAAGGUUGCUGAACAGAAAGGAAGGAGAGACUGGGAAGGAGAAUUUAAUCCUUCUGGGGUCAUCAGUGAUGCACUCGACACUCCUGGCACGUCAACAUCAGACUGUUUGAUCUGCAAACUGUUUAUCUUGCUGCUGCUAGGAUUAUGUUACAGAAUGGGAGUUGCCAGUGUGCUAAACUCAGGAAACAGAUCCACGUCCUGGAAGCUAAAAAAUGGGACAGAAGCAGCGGUUUUGAAACUGAGCACAAGAAAUAUGAGCUUUAUUGAUUUCGGAGACACCUCAGAAGUGUACUUUGGGUUCAGACCUUCUCUUGCUUCCCCAUCCUGAUUUCUGUUCCCUUUCUUUGACUCCCCACUCCUUCUCCCCCUCCCUCCCUCUCUCCUUCCCUUAAAGCGUAUAUUGAUUUCUUUCAAUGUUCUAGCCCUUGGUUCAGAGGAAAUUGCACUGAUAAAAUACUUGACCAAA